AGAGUUUGAUCCUGGCUCAGGAUAAACGCUGGCGGCGUGCCUAACACAUGCAAGUCGGACGCGCCUGGAGCAAUCCAGGCGAGUGGCGGACGGGUGAGUAACACGUGGGGAUCUACCCACAGGUGAGGAAUACCGGCGAGAAAUCGCCGACAAGACCGCAUAGGCUCAGGGGCAACCUUGAGCAAAGCUCGCGAGAGCGCCUGUGGAUGACCCUGCGGCUGAUUAGCUAGUUGGUGGGGUCAAGGCCUACCAAGGCGACGAUCAGUAGCUGGUCUGAGAGGACGAUCAGCCACACUGGGAUUGAGAACGGCCCAGACUCCUACGGGGGGCAGCAGUGAGGAAUUUUCGUCAAUGGGGGAAACCCUGAACGAGCAACGCCGCGUGCAGGAAGAAGGUUUUCGGAUCGUAAACUGCUUUUCUUGGGGAAGAGAACGGACGGUACCCAAGGAAGAAGCCCCGGCUAACUACGUGCCAGCAGCCGCGGUAAUACGUAGGGGGCAAGCGUUGUCCGGAGUUACUGGGCGUAAAGGGCACGCAGGCGGUCAUGUCAGUUUCUGGUGACACGUCACGGCUUAACUCUGGCAGGCCUGGAAAGACGGCAUGACUUGAGUGCU
Molecule: ribosomal RNA, 614 nt
Filed under: uncultured Ktedonobacterales bacterium
Lineage: Bacteria; Bacillati; Chloroflexota; Ktedonobacteria; Ktedonobacterales
Description: bacterial SSU rRNA
Rfam family: Bacterial small subunit ribosomal RNA
Source: RNAcentral